UCCGCAGGCGGAAUAUUAAGUCAGUGGUGAAAGCCUACAGCUCAACUGUAGAACUGCCAUUGAUACUGAUAUUCUUGAGUGUGGUUGAAGUGAGCGGAAUAUGUCAUGUAGCGGUGAAAUGCAUAGAUAUGACAUGGAACACCAAUUGCGAAGGCAGCUCACUAAGCCAUUACUGACGCUCAUGGACGAAAGCGUGGGGAGCGAACAGGAUUAGAUACCCUGGUAGUCCGCGCCGUAAACUAUGAUCACUAGAUGUUGGCGAUAUAAUGUCAGCGUUCAAGAGAAAUCGUUAAGUGAUCCACCUGGGGAGUACGUUCGCAACAAUGAAACUCAAAGGAGUUGACGGGGGCCCGCACAAGCGGUGGAGCAUGUGGUUUAAUUCGAUGA
RNAcentral lists this ribosomal RNA (387 nucleotides) under uncultured Bacteroidota bacterium. RNAcentral describes it as "bacterial SSU rRNA". It matches the Rfam family "Bacterial small subunit ribosomal RNA", at positions 568 to 957 of the family's 1533-position model. The record is from RNAcentral. Lineage: Bacteria; Pseudomonadati; Bacteroidota.